This 234-nucleotide long non-coding RNA is filed under the name Gossypium raimondii (Peruvian cotton). RNAcentral's name for it is "long non-coding RNA (GRAI_LNC003613)". The record is from RNAcentral. Lineage: Eukaryota; Viridiplantae; Streptophyta; Magnoliopsida; Malvales; Malvaceae.
GCCAUCAACCAAUCGCAAGUAAAAGCCAGAAAAAGAAAAUACAAUGUGGAAGAUAGGCAAAAAGAAUGUGAAUUUGGAAAAAGGCAAAAUUUGGAAAAAGGCAAAAUUUGGAAAAGAAAAGAAAAUAAAAUAAAAUAAAUUUAACUAAUAUUAUUAAUCACAUCCCUAAAAUCUCUCUAACUCCCCACUAACCCGAACCUACAAUUUUAGAAUUCCAGCCCCACCAAAACUCUG